GGCUAGUCCAAGUUCAAUGGUGUUUACAACUAAUUGAUCACAACCAGUUACACAUGCCUUUGUUCCUUCUCCACUCCUACUGCUUCACUUGACUAGCCUUAA
RNAcentral lists this Y RNA (102 nucleotides) under Prolemur simus (greater bamboo lemur). RNAcentral's name for it is "Y RNA (ENSPSMG00000021405.1)". It matches the Rfam family "Y RNA". From Rfam's summary of the family: Y RNAs are components of the Ro ribonucleoprotein particle (Ro RNP), in association with Ro60 and La proteins. The Y RNAs and Ro60 and La proteins are well conserved, but the function of the Ro RNP is not known. In humans the RNA component can be one of four small RNAs -- hY1, hY3, hY4 and hY5. Lineage: Eukaryota; Metazoa; Chordata; Mammalia; Primates; Lemuridae. The record is from Rfam by way of RNAcentral.